UAGGGAAUUUUCGGCAAUGGGGGCAACCCUGACCGAGCAACGCCGCGUGAGUGAAGACGGCCUUCGGGUUGUAAAGCUCUGUUGUAAGGGAAGAACGGUAGAUAGAGAAUAUCUAAGUGACGGUACCUUACCAGAAAGCCACGGCUAACUACGUGCCAGCAGCCGCGGUAAUACGUAGGUGGCGAGCGUUAUCCGGAAUUAUUGGGCGUAAAGGGUGCGUAGGCGGCCUGUUAAGUAAGUGGUUAAAUUGUUGGGCUCAACCCAAUCCAGCCACUUAAACUGGCAGGCUAGAGUAUUGGAGAGGCAAGUGGAAUUCCAUGUGUAGCGGUAAAAUGCGUAGAUAUAUGGAGGAACACCAGUGGCGAAGGCGGCUUGCUAGCCAAAGACUGACGCUCAUGCACGAAAGCGUGGGGAGCAAAUAGG
Molecule: ribosomal RNA, 423 nt
Filed under: uncultured Solobacterium sp.
Lineage: Bacteria; Bacillati; Bacillota; Erysipelotrichia; Erysipelotrichales; Erysipelotrichaceae
Description: bacterial SSU rRNA
Rfam family: Bacterial small subunit ribosomal RNA
Source: RNAcentral